RNAcentral lists this RNase P RNA (366 nucleotides) under Candidatus Bacteroides avicola. Its description in RNAcentral is "RNase P RNA component class A". It matches the Rfam family "Bacterial RNase P class A". From Rfam's summary of the family: Ribonuclease P (RNase P) is a ubiquitous endoribonuclease, found in archaea, bacteria and eukarya as well as chloroplasts and mitochondria. Its best characterised activity is the generation of mature 5'-ends of tRNAs by cleaving the 5'-leader elements of precursor-tRNAs. The record is from RNAcentral. Lineage: Bacteria; Pseudomonadati; Bacteroidota; Bacteroidia; Bacteroidales; Bacteroidaceae.
GCAGUCGGCCGGUCUGUUGCUCGCAUUCCGAUGCGGGAGGAAAGUCCGGGCAACACAGAGCAUCCCACUUCCUAACAGAAAGCUGUCCGCGAGGGUAGAGUAACGCAGAAGAAAAGAACCGCCGCUGCGCCUUUGGGUUCCAGCGGUAAGGGUGAGAAGGUGGGGUAAGAGCCCACCGGCCUUGUGGCGACACAAGGGCCGUGCGUCUUGGGAGUUGUAAGGUCAUGUAAACCGGCGUAAAGAGAGUUGCUCGCUCCAUGUCGGAGGGUAGACCGCUAAAGCCGUAUGGCGACAUACGGACGAGAUAAAUGACAGACACCCCACUCCGGUGGGGCACAGAACCCGGCUUACAGGCCGACUGCUUUC